GAGUUCUUUCUGCAGCAUUUUCCGAAAACUGCUUUUGCUGAUCUUGUUCCGAACCAGACUGUGCUUGGAUACGUAUUUGUAGAAGUUGGCCACCAGGACUUGGAUUGCCUGCUCCAGCUCUGUGUAACAUUCCUCGGCCAUCUCACCUGCUCAGGGCUCUUAAGGAAAGCAGCGGGCAUUAAGGAAAGGAAUUCUGCCCCAGCCCUCCCCCUGGGAGACGGAAGAGCCCAAACUCCGAGUGGAAUAACUUUCCCAACCUGCACACACCUUCCAGGAUUAAUAGAGACCCUCUCUUCCCCUCGUCCUAUCCAGAGUGGAACAAUCUCCCCCAAACUCUACACACACACAUACCCCGGGAGCCACUGGGGCAAAGUGCCCAAGAGUUGUGGCCACAGCUGCAGCCACCAGCAGCUGGAUCUCUAAGGCCUUUCCAGCCAGACAGGCCCCACACCCCAUUGUACCCCAUGGCCCAGGCUCACGGAAGGGGUGCCCCCCCGCCGCAUACCUGAGCAGCAAUCCCCGACAAGUGGUUUUCCGAUCUCUUCGAGAAGACCUCCAGCAACGAGAGCCUUCCUAUCCUUCGGAAACCCCCUCCAAGCCUGCCCAGGCUCCCGACUCCCCGCCCAGGCCCUAGUUCUGGGAAUCCUCCUGUUACUCGAAACGGAGCCAAGCUCUUUCUUUCUCCAGACCCAAUCCCUCGGCUCCUGGGCUGGGCACACCCUGCGUUGGCCACUGGGCUCUUCCAGCUGUUCUAGGACAUCACUCAAGCCAUCACAAUUCUGCUCCCUCCCCACAGCCCAGAGUGCAGGAUAUACGCACUUCCCAACAUAAUAGAGCCUCCUGAAUAACAGGAUGUGAGGGAAGGUGUAGUGAGUGGGGGACAGAGGGGGGCAGGCAGGAUCUGCUCCAUGAUUCACCACCACCCAUGCCCAAGUUAAUCCAAGCCCGAAUAACAAAUAACAAGGCGCUUUGGCUAGAUUAGCUCCUUUGAGCCCCACCACAAACCUCUGAGGAAGAGACUACCAUCAUUUUUUUACAAAUGAGGAUACUGAGGCAAAGAAAGGUGAAAGGUCUUGUAUGGGGUUAAACAGUGACUGUUGGGGCAGGAUUUGAAUUCAGAUCUUCCUCACUCCCAAGUCCAACACUCUACCCACCUCUCUGUUACUCUGAAGGAAAUAAUAAUUAUUAACAGUAAUAACUGCAACUACUCCUAUUUCUAUAGCACUCAAAGGUUUAUACAGUGCUUUCCUCAUAACUGGUCUUAUGCAAAUUCCCAUUUAGACUCCUAUUUUUCACUUCCCUGUUAUAUAUUGUCUCCUCCUGUUAGAAUGCAAGCUCCCUAAGGGCACAGACCGCCUUUCUUUAUGUCUAUGUUUAUAUGCACAUAAUAAACAUUUAAUAAA
Monodelphis domestica (gray short-tailed opossum) is the source of this 1403-nucleotide long non-coding RNA. RefSeq lists it as uncharacterized. Lineage: Eukaryota; Metazoa; Chordata; Mammalia; Didelphimorphia; Didelphidae. The record is from RefSeq and is a predicted model, not a curated record.